This 70-nucleotide non-coding RNA is filed under the name uncultured Marivita sp. RNAcentral's name for it is "Glycine riboswitch". It matches the Rfam family "Glycine riboswitch aptamer", at positions 12 to 83 of the family's 94-position model. Rfam says of the family: This family represents the bacterial glycine riboswitch. Glycine riboswitches usually consist of two metabolite-binding aptamers domains with similar structures in tandem. Lineage: Bacteria; Pseudomonadati; Pseudomonadota; Alphaproteobacteria; Rhodobacterales; Roseobacteraceae. The record is from RNAcentral.
GGGAGAACCGGUUCGCCGGUGCCGAAGGAGCAACCGCCCCCGGAAACUCUCAGGCCGAAGGACCGUCGCG